AUGCAGGACAGGGAAGGAAAGAACAAAGAUGGAUCAAUUUUGUUAUGGGAAGUGAGAUUCAAUGUAGCUGUUGGAAUAGCUGAGGCCCUUGAUUACCUACACAUAGAAGCUUUGAAGCCUGUUAUACAUAGAUAUGUCAAGUCUUCAAACAUUCUUCUUUCCCAAGACUUUGAAUCACAAGUAAUUAAAAAUAUUAUUAUCAUUCAUAUCAUAACUGCAAUUGCAUUUUAG
Vicia faba (fava bean) is the source of this 231-nucleotide non-coding RNA. NCBI's taxonomy places the organism in Eukaryota, Viridiplantae, Streptophyta, Magnoliopsida, Fabales, Fabaceae. The record is from the annotation of a GenBank genome assembly.